GACGAACGCUGGCGGCGUGCCUAAUACAUGCAAGUAGAACGCUGAAGAGAGGAGCUUGCUCUUCUUGGAUGAGUUGCGCACGGGUGAGUAACGCGUAGGUCACCUGCCUUGUAGCGGGGGAAAACUAUUGGAAACGAUAGCUAAUACCGCAUAACAAUAGGUGACACAUGUCAUUUAUUUGAAAGGGGCAAUUGCUCCACUACAAGAUGGACCUGCGUUGUAUUAGCUAGUAGGUGAGGUAACGGCUCACCUAGGCGACGAUACAUAGCCGACCUGAGAGGGUGAGCAGCCACACUGAGACUGAGACACGGCCCAGACUCCUACGGGAGGCAGCAGUAGGGAAUCUUCGGCAAUGGGGGCAACCCUGACCGAGCAACGCCGCGUGAGUGAAGAAGGUUUUCGGGUCGUAAAGCUCGGUUGUAAGUCAAGAACGAGUGUGAGAGUGGAAAGUUCACACUGUGACGGUAGCUUACCAGAAAGGGACGGCUAACUACGUG
RNAcentral lists this ribosomal RNA (497 nucleotides) under uncultured bacterium. RNAcentral's name for it is "partial 16S ribosomal RNA". It matches the Rfam family "Bacterial small subunit ribosomal RNA", at positions 28 to 507 of the family's 1533-position model. The record is from RNAcentral.